GUCUUUGUAGUAUAUAUAUAAAUACACUGGUCUUGUAAACCAGCAAAGGAGCUAACCCUCCCCAAGACU
This 69-nucleotide transfer RNA is filed under the name Manis pentadactyla (Chinese pangolin). RNAcentral's name for it is "tRNA-Thr". The record is from RNAcentral. Lineage: Eukaryota; Metazoa; Chordata; Mammalia; Pholidota; Manidae. RNAcentral also lists the same sequence under 1 other name.